Molecule: ribosomal RNA, 253 nt
Filed under: uncultured bacterium
Lineage: Bacteria
Description: partial 16S ribosomal RNA
Rfam family: Bacterial small subunit ribosomal RNA
Source: RNAcentral
UACGUAGGGUGCGAGCGUUGUCCGGAAUUACUGGGCGUAAAGAGCUCGUAGGUGGUUUGUCGCGUUGUUCGUGAAAUCUCACGGCUUAACUGUGAGCGUGCGGGCGAUACGGGCAGACUUGAGUUCGGUAGGGGAGACUGGAAUUCCUGGUGUAGCGGUGAAAUGCGCAGAUAUCAGGAGGAACACCGGUGGCGAAGGCGGAUCUCUGGGCCUUACCUGACGCUGAGGAGCGAAAGCAUGGGGAGCAAACAGG